RNAcentral lists this ribosomal RNA (486 nucleotides) under uncultured bacterium. RNAcentral describes it as "partial 16S ribosomal RNA". It matches the Rfam family "Bacterial small subunit ribosomal RNA", at positions 30 to 507 of the family's 1533-position model. The record is from RNAcentral.
AUUGAACGCUGGCGGCAUGCCUUACACAUGCAAGUCGAACGGCAGCACGGGUGCUUGCACCUGGUGGCGAGUGGCGAACGGGUGAGUAAUACAUCGGAACAUGUCCUGUAGUGGGGGAUAGCCCGGCGAAAGCCGGAUUAAUACCGCAUACGAUCUACGGAUGAAAGCGGGGGACCUUCGGGCCUCGCGCUAUAGGGUUGGCCGAUGGCUGAUUAGCUAGUUGGUGGGGUAAAGGCCUACCAAGGCGACGAUCAGUAGAUGGUCUGAGAGGACGACCAGCCACACUGGGACUGAGACACGGCCCAGACUCCUAAGGGAGGCAGCAGUGGGGAAUUUUGGACAAUGGGCGAAAGCCUGAUCCAGCAAUGCCGCGUGUUUGAAGAAGGCCUUCGGGUUGUAAAGCACUUUUGUCCGGAAAGAAAUCCUUGGCUCUAAUACAGUCGGGGGAUGACGGUACCGGAAGAAUAAGCACCGGCUAACUACGUG